GGUCGCUUAGCUCAGUUGGUUAGAGGUACAAUUUCCAGUCUUCGAGAUGUUCAGCACAUUAAACUAAUUCCUAAACAGCGUGGUGCUAAUAGCGUUGAAAACUGUUUACGCCAAGGUCGCGAGUUCGACCCUCGUAGUGACCA
Molecule: non-coding RNA, 143 nt
Organism: Exophiala spinifera
Lineage: Eukaryota; Fungi; Ascomycota; Eurotiomycetes; Chaetothyriales; Herpotrichiellaceae
Source: the annotation of a RefSeq genome assembly